GACGAACGCUGGCGGCGUGCCUAAUACAUGCGAGUCGAGCGGACUUUCAAGAAGCUUGCUUUUUGAAAGUUAGCGGCGGACGGGUGAGUAACACGUGGGCAACCUGCCUGCAAGACGGGGAUAACUCCGGGAAACCGGGGCUAAUACCGGAUAAUAUCUUCCUUCGCAUGAAGGAAGGUUGAAAGGCGGCGCAAGCUGCCGCUUGCAGAUGGGCCCGCGGCGCAUUAGCUAGUUGGUGAGGUAACGGCUCACCAAGGCGACGAUGCGUAGCCGACCUGAGAGGGUGAUCGGCCACACUGGGACUGAGACACGGCCCAGACUCCUACGGGAGGCAGCAGUAGGGAAUCUUCCGCAAGGGACGAAAGUCUGACGGAGCAACGCCGCGUGAGCGAAGAAGGUCUUCGGAUCGUAAAGCUCUGUUGUCAGGGAAGAACAAGUACCGUUCGAACAGGGCGGUACCUUGACGGUACCUGACCAGAAAGCCACGGCUAACUACGUG
This 499-nucleotide ribosomal RNA is filed under the name uncultured bacterium. RNAcentral describes it as "partial 16S ribosomal RNA". It matches the Rfam family "Bacterial small subunit ribosomal RNA", at positions 28 to 507 of the family's 1533-position model. The record is from RNAcentral.